This 259-nucleotide non-coding RNA is filed under the name Burkholderia pseudomallei. RNAcentral also lists the same sequence under 1 other name. Lineage: Bacteria; Pseudomonadati; Pseudomonadota; Betaproteobacteria; Burkholderiales; Burkholderiaceae. The record is from RNAcentral.
UACACUCGCUCGCGUUUCGGUGCUCGCGCGCGGUUUCUGUCGCGCGCAGUCAAACGGGAAACAGGGAGCGUCGCCGCGUCGCGGCCCGCCAACCUGUGCUGCCCCCGCAACGGUAAGCGAAGGCAUCGCGCGAGCGGUGCGACGCCGGCUUCUCCGCGCGCCUGACGGCUUGCGCGGCCAACCACUGGACGCAUCGCGUCCGGGAAGGUGAAGCGGCGUUUUCGUCAGCCCGGAUACCGGCCGAGACACGGGGCCCGUU